CACCGGGGACCUCGUAGAAUAAGCAACUUGAACCAGGUCAGGAUCGGAAGGUAGCAGCCUUAAGAGAACUGUCUUAUGCUACGAGUUCAUCUCCGGUGUUU
This 101-nucleotide signal recognition particle RNA is filed under the name Parachlamydiales bacterium. RNAcentral's name for it is "signal recognition particle sRNA small type". It matches the Rfam family "Bacterial small signal recognition particle RNA". Rfam says of the family: The signal recognition particle (SRP) is a universally conserved ribonucleoprotein involved in the co-translational targeting of proteins to membranes. The record is from RNAcentral. Lineage: Bacteria; Pseudomonadati; Chlamydiota; Chlamydiia; Parachlamydiales.